RNAcentral lists this unclassified non-coding RNA (202 nucleotides) under Hevea brasiliensis (rubber tree). Lineage: Eukaryota; Viridiplantae; Streptophyta; Magnoliopsida; Malpighiales; Euphorbiaceae. The record is from RNAcentral.
UUUCACCCCAGAACACAUCAAUGCUUUAGAGGCUGGCAAUGAAACUUCAAAAUCUGGUACUGAAAAAUCAUGUAGUUCAAGUGAUAUUCAUCGACCAGAAGGUAGCAAUACUGUCUGUGAAAUUGAUGAUUUUAGCAGGUCUUCUCUAGAUACUGAUCAUGGUGUCUCUGCUCUUUGUACAAGGAGAGUGAAUAACAUUUUG